UGGGGAAUUUUGGACAAUGGGCGCAAGCCUGAUCCAGCCAUGCCGCGUGCAGGAUGAAGGCCUUCGGGUUGUAAACUGCUUUUGUACGGAACGAAAAAGCUCUCUCUAAUACAGGGGGUGAAUGACGGUACCGUAAGAAUAAGCACCGGCUAACUACGUGCCAGCAGCCGCGGUAAUACGUAGGGUGCAAGCGUUAAUCGGAAUUACUGGGCGUAAAGCGUGCGCAGGCGGUUAUGUAAGACAGAGGUGAAAUCCCCGGGCUCAACCUGGGAACUGCCUUUGUGACUGCAUAGCUGGAGUGCGGCAGAGGGGGAUGGAAUUCCGCGUGUAGCAGUGAAAUGCGUAGAUAUGCGGAGGAACACCGAUGGCGAAGGCAAUCCCCUGGGCCUGCACUGACGCU
RNAcentral lists this ribosomal RNA (400 nucleotides) under uncultured bacterium. Its description in RNAcentral is "bacterial SSU rRNA". It matches the Rfam family "Bacterial small subunit ribosomal RNA", at positions 355 to 747 of the family's 1533-position model. The record is from RNAcentral.